GACGAACGCUGGCGGCGUGCCUAAUACAUGCAAGUCGAGCGAAGCGGCGGAUGGGUGAGUAACGCGUGGGUAACUUGCCCUUAAGUUUGGGACAACAUCUGGAAACACAUGCUAUUACCGGAUACUAAUGGAUGGACUUGCGAUGCCUUAGCUAGUUGCUAAGGUAACGGCUUACCAAGGCGAUGAUGCAUAGCCGGGUUGAGAGACUGAGCGGCCACAUUGGGACUGAGACACGGCCCAAACUCCUACGGGAGGCAGCAGUAGGGAAUCUUCCACAAUGGACGAAAGUCUGAUGGAGCAACGCCGCGUGAGUGAAGAAGGUUUUCGGAUCGUAAAGCUCUGUUGUUGGUGAAGCGGUAAUCAACCAGAAAGUCACGGCUAACUACGUGCCAGCAGCCGCGGUAAUAC
Molecule: ribosomal RNA, 408 nt
Filed under: uncultured bacterium
Lineage: Bacteria
Description: partial 16S ribosomal RNA
Rfam family: Bacterial small subunit ribosomal RNA
Source: RNAcentral